UGACAAAUAAACAGACUUAUCUGGCAUAUCACCAUCUAACAGGGGAAACUGGAGAGACGAGGACAAAUUUGGUAUUGUGGUGGUCUGCAAAGGAGGACCCGUUCACUCCCAAAGGUUGUCAGCUGCUGUGCUGGAGCAAGCUCUGACUCACUCCAUUGCUUGAGUAGAAUGUGAAUCAGUAAGGACAUGUUCUACAGCUCGAAGUGAGUGCCUUUCUUUGCUCCCAGAUCAUGUUAAAUAUUUGUAGUA
Molecule: long non-coding RNA, 249 nt
Filed under: Numida meleagris (helmeted guineafowl)
Lineage: Eukaryota; Metazoa; Chordata; Aves; Galliformes; Numididae
Description: lncRNA (ENSNMEG00000000390.1)
Source: RNAcentral